CUACGGGCUGCUCCAGUGGGGAAUCUUAGACAAUGGGCGCAAGCCUGAUCUAGCCAUGCCGCGUGAGUGACGAAGGCCUUAGGGUCGUAAAGCUCUUUCGCUGGGGAAGAUAAUGACGGUACCCAGUAAAGAAACCCCGGCUAACUCCGUGCCAGCAGCCGCGGUAAUACGGAGGGGGUUAGCGUUGUUCGGAAUUACUGGGCGUAAAGCGCGCGUAGGCGGAUCAGAAAGUUGGGGGUGAAAUCCCGGGGCUCAACCCCGGAACUGCCUUCAAAACUCCUGGUCUUGAGUUCGAGAGAGGUGAGUGGAAUUCCGAGUGUAGAGGUGAAAUUCGUAGAUAUUCGGAGGAACACCAGUGGCGAAGGCGGCUCACUGGCUCGAUACUGACGCUGAGGUGCGAAAGCGUGGGGAGCAAACAGGAUUAGAUACCCGAGUAGUC
RNAcentral lists this ribosomal RNA (439 nucleotides) under uncultured bacterium. RNAcentral's name for it is "partial 16S ribosomal RNA". It matches the Rfam family "Bacterial small subunit ribosomal RNA", at positions 339 to 795 of the family's 1533-position model. The record is from RNAcentral.